GACGAACGCUGGCGGCGUGCCUAACACAUGCAAGUUGAGCGACGAACCAGGGCUUGCCCUGGGGCAAAGCAGCGAACGGCUGAGUAACACGUGGGUAACCUACCCCGAUAACCGGGACAACCCGAGGAAACUCGGGCUAAUACCGGAUGUGCUCACUGGACUUCGGUUCAGUGCGUAAAGGAAGCUUCGGCCUCCGUAUCGGGAGGGGCCCGCGGCCCAUUAGUUAGUUGGUGAGGUAACGGCUCACCAAGACCGCGAUGGGUAGCUGGUCUGAGAGGACGAUCAGCCACACUGGGACUGAGACACGGCCCAGACUCCUACGGGAGGCAGCAGUGGGGAAUCUUGCGCAAUGCGCGAAAGCGUGACGCAGCAACGCCGUGUGGGGGAAGAAGGCCUUCGGGUUGUAAACCCCUUUCAGGAGGGACGAAGGUUCGGCGGUGAAUAGCCGUCCGGACUGACGGUACCUGCACAAGAAGCCCCGGCUAACUACGUGCCAGCCGCCGCGGUAA
RNAcentral lists this ribosomal RNA (509 nucleotides) under uncultured bacterium. Its description in RNAcentral is "partial 16S ribosomal RNA". It matches the Rfam family "Bacterial small subunit ribosomal RNA", at positions 28 to 523 of the family's 1533-position model. The record is from RNAcentral.